UGGGGAAUAUUACACAAUGGGGGAAACCCUGAUGCAGCGACGCCGCGUGAGCGAAGAAGGUUUUCGAAUCGUAAAGCUCUGUCCUAUGAGAAGAUAAUGACGGUAUCAUAGGAGGAAGCCCCGGCUAAAUACGUGCCAGCAGCCGCGGUAAUACGUAUGGGGCGAGCGUUGUCCGGAAUUAUUGGGCGUAAAGGGUACGUAGGCGGUCUAUUAAGUCAGGUGUGAAAGCGUGAGGCUUAACCUCAUUAAGCACUUGAAACUGAUAGACUUGAGUGAAGGAGAGGAAAGUGGAAUUCCUAGUGUAGCGGUGAAAUGCGUAGAUAUUAGGAGGAAUACCGGUGGCGAAGGCGACUUUCUGGACUUUUACUGACGCUCAGGUACGAAAGCGUGGGGAGCAAACAGG
This 403-nucleotide ribosomal RNA is filed under the name Verrucomicrobiota bacterium. Its description in RNAcentral is "Verrucomicrobia bacterium partial 16S ribosomal RNA". It matches the Rfam family "Bacterial small subunit ribosomal RNA", at positions 355 to 776 of the family's 1533-position model. The record is from RNAcentral. Lineage: Bacteria; Pseudomonadati; Verrucomicrobiota.